ACGACCUCACCUAGGAGAUCUCCAUGCUGCAACACGGCUCUGGAAAAGGACCCACUUUCCAUGAGCUGCAACUUCAAAGAAGUCAUACAUAGCCCGGAUUCUUAUAUAAAUCUCCGACAACAUGCAGCAUAUAAAGCAUCAAAUUAGAAGGAUUAAAAGUGGUCUAACAGCAACCCCUCUUACACUAUGGAAGGUAAGUUCUCUUUUUAAAUUCUAGGUGAUGCAGUUUUUAUUUUGAAAUUUGUCUUGAUUUAUCUCAAUUUGUUUUAGUUAGUUUAUAAUUUUUUUCAUUAUAGCGCACUGUAAUUCUACAUCUAUAAAUUGAAAUCUGACAACUUAAAAGCCCUUUUUAAUUUUUCUAACUAUUCUAUGACAUUUUAGACUCCUUGAACUUGAUUUUUGAAUCUUUCUUGGGUCAAAUAUGGUUUUCCAAUUAGGAGAUUUAAAUCAAUUUUUCAGAAGGUUCAAUUUUCACUCUGUUUUUGACAUUCAGUCUUGUUUUACAAAAUUAAAUUACUAAACGGUCUCUUUAAUUUAUUUUAACAUUUUAUUUUAAUCUAGACUCCUUAAAUUUAAUUUUUGAUACAUAAAAUAUCAAUAAAUAAUUUCUGAAAUGAGAGAUAUAAUUUUUUCUUCUUGCACACACUGCACAAGUGCUUUUCUGAAUUUGAGAGAUGUUUAUUUAUUUUUAAAUAUGUUGUGAAUGUGAUAUUUCUCUGAGACUAUUUUUCAUAUAUAAUAGAAAUAUUAAUAUAGUUGUGUGAUUUUUUUUAUGAUUUUAAGACAUUUCUAAGUUAAUUAUAAAAAUCAAUUUUUGAAUACCUUAAAAGAUGCUCUGUUCUGGACCUAUUAUCAUCGUUAUGUAAUCUGGUACUAAAUGAGGGCUGGUUAAUUAAUUUGGUCACUUAGAUGAUAAACUAGACAUAUAGGAGAUGCUCUCUAAAAAUAUUCUUGAUAAAACUUAACUUCUAGGUAUUUGUUUUAGAUUUAUUUUUUACAGUCUUCUAUUCUAAUCAUUUGCUAACUUUUUUCUGUGAGGUAACCCCUUUGUGAAUAAAUUUGUUAUUGAUUGGAAUAUAAUCAAAUAAUUUGGCCUAUUGGAUGUUUAUCUAGACAUGUUAAAGAUGUUACCUAAUUUUUAUUUUGGUGAGAUAACAUUUCUUGAUAUUUAUUUGGAGUUUAUUUUGUGAACCGAUUUUCUACCCUUUUAAUAAUAUUUCUUUGGCUUUUGGUAUUUUAGUCACUUUUGAUCAUACUUGUGAACUUUCCUUGACUUUAGACAUUCUAAGUGUAUAUAUGUAGGUUUAGUUUAUUUAUUUAUUUAUUAUUAUUUAAUCUUAUCAUUAUUAUUGGUGAAUUAACCUCAUUUUUAUAGAAUCACUGACGCUUGCUACACAGGUACGCUCUCUAUCUUCCCAUUCUAAGUGUAUAUAUAUAGGUUUAGUUUUAUUUAUUUAUUAUUAUUUAAUCUUAUCAUUAUUAUUGGUGAAUUAACCUCAUUUUUAUAGAAUCACUAGUGCUUGCUACACAGGUACGCUCUCUAUCUUCUCAUUUUAAAGUUCCAUGAAUAUGUUUGUCAUUAAGAACUCACUACUACAAAAAAUUAAAUUAAUAACACUUUAUUUCUUGAAGCUUGUAAAAAAUAUCAUUAUUUAUCUCUAAAAUUAAUAAUUAUUGAUGCUCACACAUUCUUGGCGCUUUACAAGGAGAAGCAAUGGCGUUUUUAAAUAAUGGCUCUUUUGUAUGGAUGUUGUAUUGAAGAAGAUAGACGGAUUCUGGUUUAUGAAUGUAUAAAAAAUAAGAGCCUUGAUCAAGCUCUUUUUGGUGAGAAUGCUUAAAAUAUUUUGCAUCUUGCACUUUAUGUUUUUAUUUUUUAUUUUAUUUUAUUUACCACACCUAUACUGUGUUCUGAUAAAGAAUUCAAAUUAUAUUUCCAUUAACUUUAAAAAUUUGAUGUUUCUCUCUAUUUCUUAAUUUGGGGGUUGCAACAAUUAUUUGGCUUGUUUUAAUGAUGUAGGAGAUGAAAGGACCUUAAAAGAUUCAAAAUACUAACUUAAACUGUACCAACAGUAAUUUUGGCUUGGGAAUUUGACAGUGUCAAUGAUUGAUUUUCCAUGUUUUCUUUCUAACUAUCUAGAAUUUUAAUUUUAGUUGAAUGUUAAUAGAAAUAUUAGACACUAUCACAUCUUAUCUCUCUUCUUCAUGUUUUCAUUUAUUAAUUAUAAUUUAUAAUUUUUCUUUUUUUAAUAUAUUUAUCUAUCUAUUUAUA
Molecule: long non-coding RNA, 2269 nt
Filed under: Vitis vinifera (wine grape)
Lineage: Eukaryota; Viridiplantae; Streptophyta; Magnoliopsida; Vitales; Vitaceae
Description: long non-coding RNA (VVIN_LNC000479)
Source: RNAcentral